AAAAAGUCCUUAACCAACAGUCACUGAAGACAUGUCCUUUUUUGGUAAGAAAAUGCAUAAAAGAAUAUCUAACAUCAAAAUUCAUAGAUAGAACUCCUUCAUGAAAUCUACAGUUUCCCAUGUAACUGCAGAACAAAAAAUUGGAUGAUUAACUGAUGAGAUUGGAUAAAGAGAAAAAAGCAAAUAUUAUAACACCUCUUUUUUUUAUUCUCAACUAUAGGUAUGUUGCCCUAGGGCAU
Molecule: long non-coding RNA, 239 nt
Filed under: Carica papaya (papaya)
Lineage: Eukaryota; Viridiplantae; Streptophyta; Magnoliopsida; Brassicales; Caricaceae
Description: long non-coding RNA (CPAP_LNC008334)
Source: RNAcentral